RNAcentral lists this long non-coding RNA (331 nucleotides) under Elaeis guineensis (African oil palm). RNAcentral's name for it is "long non-coding RNA (EGUI_LNC066014)". Lineage: Eukaryota; Viridiplantae; Streptophyta; Magnoliopsida; Arecales; Arecaceae. The record is from RNAcentral.
GAUAGUGAGGCCCUCCACAUCUAUAGCACUUAAAGUCUUCUAGCCGUGCUUUACCCUCAGUAGUAGCUUGAUUCAAUCUUGCCUUUGACUUGAAAGGUAUAUUAUCUUGAUUCAGAGAGUCAUUAGAUCUGAUCCUUUUCUUCAAACUUUUCUCUUUUGCAGCUUGUGCAUCAUUUAAUCCUUUCUCAAUUAUCAGAGCUUCAUUAAUGACUUCCUUAUAGGUGGGUAGCUCAAAUGCAGUUACCAAUUAUUUAAUCCGACCUCUAAAUCUAUUUUCAAAUUUUUUGAAUCGAACACCCCCCUCAGCUAUCAAUGUUGAAGCAUAUCUAGA